UCAAAAUUCUAUGACCCUUUCAUGCAUCCGGAAUUCCCACUGUAUACAAAUGACAUGAUAAGGGAAUAAGGGAAAAAAUGGGUAAGAUCGCCGAAAGGACGUGGACUUUCAAAUAUGAAAUCACAAGUACCUGUCAAUUGAACUGACGGAUGACAUUGAGUGUGCUGAGUUGGAUAAUGCAUUCAUAUUUAUUCUUUGCCAUUUUAGUCCUUUCUGAUUAAUAUGGCUAACCAAACCGAAGUGUUAAAAUGUGUUCAUAUCUGGAGCCUUUGUGGGUGAUAGGCUGCUUAGCACAUUGUAUCCCUAAAAAGAAUGGUCAUGGUUUUCUGCUCGGUUUUUUCCCAAUAAUUUUGGUUUUUUUUGGAGCUCACAGAUUAGCGUGAGUUGGGACAAGAUGCAAAACCAUCAGCCCUUGAUAUAGAAAAAUAGGAUAUGCUUUCUUGGCCCUACAUUCAAGGCUAAUCCAAACAAAUCAGUUUCAAGCUGAAAUGCUUGCAUGUGGAAGCAAGAAAAUAGGAAGGUAGCCUACAUAAUUGGGUCUCCACACAUGGGAUUCUCCAACUGGUGUGCCUAAUGGCUUUGGCUGUCAUUACAACUACAAGGACCACCAAUCUGUAAAGAAGAUUGACUCUGUCUCCCUGUCAAUGUCUUGAAGAUCAAGUGGGUAUUGAAGCUUUUUUGUGGGUUGCUGUUAUCUGGUUGCUUUUGCCUUGACUUCUUAGCAUAUUGUUAGACUUUGCUGCUGCUGUAAUCAUGGUGGACUUCAAAGGAAAGACAGCUGAUCUUAAGAAAUUCUUUGGCAAGGGUUUCAAGUCAGUGAAGAAUGUGUUCAAGACUGGUUGGGAGAAGGUUAAAACUAUAAAGAAGAAAAAAGAGCCUGCAGCUGUAUAGGCAAUCUGAAUCAUGGGGGUUUUCAAGAUGUUGAAAGUAUUCAGUCAUAACUAUGUCCAUGGAUAUUUGGGCCUUGGAGGAUCUGCCAGGUUGGCCUAGUUCUUUUGUUGGUGGAUUUUGUAGGAGCUGGCACUGUGCAGGUCUUCCAAGUUUAUUGUAUUUUUUUCAUUUGUUUUUAUCUUCUUGACUCUCAGUAUGGUUUUGUAGUGUAUUUAUAGUAAAAUAGGGUUUAAGGACUAUAUGUGCUUUGUACUCUGUAUUUUGACAUAUCGAUGUCCUGAUAUUUUAUGAA
Cryptomeria japonica (Japanese cedar) is the source of this 1183-nucleotide long non-coding RNA. RefSeq lists it as uncharacterized. The transcript has 2 exons. The record is from RefSeq and is a predicted model, not a curated record. Lineage: Eukaryota; Viridiplantae; Streptophyta; Pinopsida; Cupressales; Cupressaceae.